UGGGGAAUAUUGCACAAUGGGCGCAAGCCUGAUGCAGCCAUGCCGCGUGUGUGAAGAAGGCCUUCGGGUUGUAAAGCACUUUCAGCGGGGAGGAAGGCGGUAAGGUUAAUAACCUUGGCGAUUGACGUUACCCGCAGAAGGAGCACCGGCUAACUCCGUGCCAGCAGCCGCGGUAAUACGGAGGGUGCAAGCGUUAAUCGGAAUUACUGGGCGUAAAGCGCACGCAGGCGGUCUGUCAAGUCGGAUGUGAAAUCCCCGGGCUCAACCUGGGAACUGCAUUCGAAACUGGCAGGCUAGAGUCUUGUAGAGGGGGGUAGAAUUCCAGGUGUAGCGGUGAAAUGCGUAGAGAUCUGGAGGAAUACCGGUGGCGCAGGCGGCCCCCUGGACAAAGCCUGACGCUCAGGUGCGAAAGCGUGGGGAGCAAACAGG
This 429-nucleotide ribosomal RNA is filed under the name Chloroflexota bacterium. Its description in RNAcentral is "Chloroflexi bacterium partial 16S ribosomal RNA". It matches the Rfam family "Bacterial small subunit ribosomal RNA", at positions 355 to 776 of the family's 1533-position model. The record is from RNAcentral. Lineage: Bacteria; Bacillati; Chloroflexota.